RNAcentral lists this ribosomal RNA (2022 nucleotides) under Margattea concava. Its description in RNAcentral is "SSU rRNA". It matches the Rfam family "Eukaryotic small subunit ribosomal RNA". The record is from RNAcentral. Lineage: Eukaryota; Metazoa; Arthropoda; Insecta; Blattodea; Pseudophyllodromiidae.
UCAAAGAUUAAGCCAUGCAUGUGUCAGUGCAAGCCUAAUUAAGGUGAAACCGCGAAUGGCUCAUUAAAUCAGUUAUGGUUCCUUGGACGCUUCACGGUUACUUGGAUAACUGUGGUAAUUCUAGAGCUAAUACAUGCGACAAGGCCCCGACCGGCGACGGAAGGGGCGCACUUAUUAGAUCAAAACCAAUCGGGGGAGCGAUCCCUCGGCUGUCUUUGGUGACUCUGAAUAAGACAACGCAGAUCGCACGGCCUCCGCGCCGGCGACACGUCCUUCAAAUGUCUGCCUUAUCAACUGUCGAUGGUAGGUUCUUCGCCUACCAUGGUCGUAACGGGUAACGGGGAAUCAGGGUUCGAUUCCGGAGAGGGAGCCUGAGAAACGGCUACCACAUCCAAGGAAGGCAGCAGGCGCGCAAAUUACCCACUCCCGGCACGGGGAGGUAGUGACGAAAAAUAACGAUACGGGACUCAUCCGAGGCCCCGUAAUCGGAAUGAGAACACUUUAAAUCCUUUAACGAGUAUCCAUUGGAGGGCAAGUCUGGUGCCAGCAGCUGCGGUAAUUCCAGCUCCAAUAGCGUAUAUUAAAGUUGUUGCGGUUAAAAAGCUCGUAGUCGGACCUGUGUCCCGCUCUGCCGGUUCACCGCCCGUCGGUGUCUAACUGGCAUGCACGCGCGGACGUCCUGGCGGUGGCCGCGCUCUCGAUCCUCGGGCUCUCCGCGUCCAACGGCCGGUGUAUUCCUCGCUUCUCUUCUCGCCGAAGCCGCGCGUCCGGUCCGCUCGGGGGUAACACCCCGUCGGUCGGCGCGUGGCCGAGGCUCGGGACGGGGUUUCCCGGUCGGCGGCAGAUGUCUUCCCGGGGAGAAGGGGGCCGGCCUGUCUCUUUCAGAGGCUACCUCUCGAGGUGCUCUUGACCGAGUGUCUUGCGAGGCCGUCACUUUUACUUUGAACAAAUUAGAGUGCUCAAAGCAGGCGGCAAGUCCGCCUGGAUACCAGUGCAUGGAAUAAUGGAAUAGGACCUCGGUUCUAUUUUGUUGGUUUUCGGAAUCUCCGAGGUAAUGAUCAAUAGGGACAGACGGGGGCAUUCGUAUUGCGACGUUAGAGGUGAAAUUCUUGGAUCGUCGCAAGACGGACAGAAGCGAAAGCAUUUGCCAAGCAUGUUUUCUCUGAUCAAGAACGAAAGUCAGAGGUUCGAAGGCGAUCAGAUACCGCCCUAGUUCUGACCAUAAACGAUGCCAGCCAGCAAUCCGCCGAAGUUCCUCCGAUGACUCGGCGGGCGGCUUCCGGGAAACCAAAGCUUACGGGUUCCGGGGGAAGUAUGGUUGCAAAGCUGAAACUUAAAGGAAUUGACGGAAGGGCACCACCAGGAGUGGAGCCUGCGGCUUAAUUUGACUCAACACGGGAAAACUCACCAAGCCCUGACACCGGUAGGAUUGACAGAUUGAGAGCUCUUUCUUGAUUCGGUGGUUGGUGGUGCAUGGCCGUUCUUAGUUCGUGGGGUGACUUGUCUGGUUAAUUCCGAUAACGAACGAGACUCCGUCCUGCUAAAUAGUCGGACACCGGCAUCCUUCGUGCUGCCGGCGAAUGUGAAUCUUCUUAGAGGGACAAGCGGCUUCUAGCCGCGCGAGAAGGAGCAAUAACAGGUCUGUGAUGCCCUUAGAUGUCUUGGGCAGCACGCGCGCUACACUGAAGGAAUCAGCGUGUCCUCCCUGGCCGAAAGGCCCGGGUAACCCGUUGAACCUCCUUCGUGAUUGGGAUUGGGGCUUGCAAUUGUUCCCCAUGAACGAGGAAUUCCCAGUAAGCGCGAGUCAUAAGCUCGCGUUGAUUAAGUCCCUGCCCUUUGUACACACCGCCCGUCGCUACUACCGAUUGAAUGGUUUAGUGAGGACUUCGGACCGGCGGAACGGAGGCGUUUGGCCCCCGUGCCCGUCCCGACUCCGUCCGGGAAGAUGUCCGAACUUGACUAUUUAGAGGAAGUAAAAGUCGUAACAAGGUUGCCGUAGGUGAACCUGCGGCAGGACCAUUA